AGAUAUGAGGACAAUCUGGCUGUGACAUCUGUCACUCAUGAUUGUCUGAGCCCAUUCAGCUGGUCUGUGUUAGGAGGGAGUCUCGUUUCUCCCUCCUGGGUCCAUGAGUUUCCCCCACUUGAAGCUGCACCCUUAGUUGAUGUACCCCUUCCCUGCCAGAGAGGGACCGUUCUUCACUCAAGAGUGUUGAAGCAGCUGUCGGCCCCACCACCUCCUCACCCCAUUAGAACCUCCAAAAGAACACACAAACAACUACAAAAUAAAGAAUAAGAUCACCAUUCUAGAGCCAGGCCUGGUGACAGGACCCAGCAAUUU
This 315-nucleotide small nuclear RNA is filed under the name Peromyscus maniculatus bairdii (prairie deer mouse). RNAcentral's name for it is "7SK RNA (ENSPEMG00000004279.2)". It matches the Rfam family "7SK RNA". From Rfam's summary of the family: 7SK was discovered as an abundant small nuclear RNA in the mid-70s but a possible function has only recently been suggested. Two independent studies have found that 7SK RNA binds the CDK9/cyclin T complex (known as elongation factor P-TEFb). The record is from Rfam by way of RNAcentral. Lineage: Eukaryota; Metazoa; Chordata; Mammalia; Rodentia; Cricetidae.